GCUAACUCCGUGCCAGCAGCCGCGGUAAUACGGAGGGGGUUAGCGUUGUUCGGAAUUACUGGGCGUAAAGCGCACGCAGGCGGUUUGUUAAGCUAGAUGUGAAAGCCCCGAGCUCAACUUGGGAUGGUCAUUUAGAACUGGCAGACUAGAGUCUUGGAGAGGGGAGUGGAAUUUCUGGUGUAGCGGUGAAAUGCGUAGAUAUCUGGAGGAACAUCAGUGGCGAAGGCGACUCCCUGGCCAAAGACUGACGCUCAUGUGCGAAAGUGUGGGUAGCGAACAGGAUUAGAUACCCUGGUAGUCCACACCGUAAACGCUGUCUACUAGCUGUUUGUGGAUUUAAUCCGUGAGUAGCGAAGCUAACGCGAUAAGUAGACCGCCUGGGGAGUACGGCCGCAAGGUUAAAACUCAAAUGAAUUGACGGGGGCCCGCACAAGCGGUGGAGCAUGUGGUUUAAUUUGAUACAACGCGAAGAACCUUACCAGGGUUUGACAU
Molecule: ribosomal RNA, 492 nt
Filed under: Pseudopedinella elastica
Lineage: Eukaryota; Dictyochophyceae; Pedinellales
Description: partial Bacterial small subunit ribosomal RNA
Rfam family: Bacterial small subunit ribosomal RNA
Source: RNAcentral